This 467-nucleotide ribosomal RNA is filed under the name uncultured bacterium. RNAcentral describes it as "partial 16S ribosomal RNA". It matches the Rfam family "Bacterial small subunit ribosomal RNA", at positions 28 to 506 of the family's 1533-position model. The record is from RNAcentral.
GACGAACGCUGGCGGCGUGCUUAACACAUGCAAGUCGAACGGAAAGGCCCUGCUUUUGUGGGGUGCUCGAGUGGCGAACGGGUGAGUAACACGUGAGUAACCUGCCCUUGACUUUGGGAUAACUUCAGGAAACUGGGGCUAAUACCGGAUAGGAGCUCCUGCUGCAUGGUGGGGGUUGGAAAGUUUCGGCGGUUGGGGAUGGACUCGCGGCUUAUCAGCUUGCUGGGGGGGUAGUGGAUUACCAAGGCUUUGAAGGGUAGCCGGCCUGGGAGGGUGACCGGCCACAGUGGGACUGGGAUACGGCCCAGACUCCUACGUGCGGCAGGAGUGGGGAAUAUUGCGCACUGGGCGGAAGCCGGAAGCAGCAACGCCGCGUGCGGGAUGACGGCUUUCGGGUUGUAAACCGCUUUCGCCUGUGACGAAGCGUGAGGGACGGUAAUGGGUAAAGAAGCACCGGCUAACUACGG